CGUGGCUCGUCUUCUGCCUCAGA
This 23-nucleotide microRNA is filed under the name Rattus norvegicus (Norway rat). RNAcentral describes it as "rno-miR-7578". The record is from miRBase by way of RNAcentral. Lineage: Eukaryota; Metazoa; Chordata; Mammalia; Rodentia; Muridae.